CUGGUGUGGCCGGUACCCAAUCCCGGCUGUGCCGAAGCUAACGCGAUAAGCAUCCCCGCCUGGGGAGUACGGUCGCCAAGGCUGAAACUCAAAGGAAUUGACGGGGGCCCGCACAAGCGGUGGAGCAUGUGGUUCAAUUCGACGCAACGCGAAGAACCUUACCUGGGCUCGAAGCACAGUGGACCGGGAUAGAAAUAUCCCUUUUCGCAAGAACUGCUGUGGAGGUGCUGCAUGGCUGUCGUCAGCUCGUGUCGUGAGAUGUUGGGUUAAGUCCCGCAACGAGCGCAACCCUUAUCGUUAGUUGCCAGCGAGUCAAGUCGGGCACUCUAGCGAAACCGCCCCGGAUAACGGGGAGGAAGGUGGGGAUGACGUCAAGUCCUCAUGGCCUUUAUGUCCAGGGCUACACACGUGCUACAAUGGUCGGUACAAACCGUCGCAAACCUGCGAAGGGGAGCUAAUCGGAAAAAGCCGGCCUCAGUUCGGAUUGGAGUCUGCAACUCGACUCCAUGAAGCUGGAAUCGCUAGUAAUCGCGGAUCAGCACGCCGCGGUGAAUACGUUCCCGGGCCUUGUACACACCGCCCGUCACAUCACGAAAGUGGACUGCACUAGAAGCCGGUGAGCCAACCGCAAGGGGGCAGCCGUCCAAGGUAUGGUUCAUGAUUGGGGUGAAGUCGUAANCAAGGUACC
Molecule: ribosomal RNA, 688 nt
Filed under: uncultured bacterium
Lineage: Bacteria
Description: bacterial SSU rRNA
Rfam family: Bacterial small subunit ribosomal RNA
Source: RNAcentral